RNAcentral lists this ribosomal RNA (451 nucleotides) under uncultured bacterium. Its description in RNAcentral is "partial 16S ribosomal RNA". It matches the Rfam family "Bacterial small subunit ribosomal RNA", at positions 29 to 523 of the family's 1533-position model. The record is from RNAcentral.
AGCGAACGCUGGCGGCAGGCUUAACACAUGCAAGUCGAGCGGGCACUUUCGGGUGUCAGCGGCGGACGGGUGAGUAACGCGUGGGAACGUGCCUUCUGGUUCGGAAUAACUCAGGGAAACUUGAGCUAAUACCGGAUACGCCCUUUUGGGGAAAGGUUUACUGCCGGAAGAUCGGCCCGCGUCUGAUUAGCUAGUUGGUGGGGUAACGGCCUACCAAGGCGACGAUCAGUAGCUGGUCUGAGAGGAUGAUCAGCCACACUGGGACUGAGACACGGCCCAGACUCCUACGGGAGGCAGCAGUGGGGAAUAUUGGACAAUGGGCGCAAGCCUGAUCCAGCCAUGCCGCGUGAGUGAUGAAGGCCUUAGGGUUGUAAAGCUCUUUUAUCCGGGACGAUAAUGACGGUACCGGAGGAAUAAGCCCCGGCUAACUUCGUGCCAGCCGCCGCAGUAA